AAUUAGCUCACACUGUACAACCUCAUAAAUUUAGCAUGCUUGGGACUGAGCAUCUGCCAGAAAUCUGAAAAUUCUGGAUUUUUGAAACCAGAGAGGAGGCCAGUUGUGGAGUCAGGGGGAGGACGGGAGUAGUGGUGCCUGGUCCCGGAGCAGCAACUGCACACAGGGUGGUGAAUGGCAGCAGCAGUUGCUGCAUGCAAGCUUCCCCCUCCGCUGCUCCAGGACUGACUGCCACUACUCCCCAAUAUAGUGUAUUUUUAAAAAGUGCCAGAGUUUCAAGAAUUCUGGAUUUUUGAUAUCUGGAUUUAUGAGGUUUAUAUUGUGCAAACUUUAGGAAGAAUUAACAUGGAAAAUGUAAUCUCAGGAUUUAAUAAAUCCAGUAUAUGUGCUGUAGUAGAAGUGCAUAUUAAAAUCAGCAAUAUGAGAAAAGGCUAGAGAAUUCUGCAUAAUUCUACACUCUACUUCAUAAUUAAGACACAAUAACAUACUAGUCUUCUGAAAUAGAAAAAAGGUAGGGGGAAAAAAAAGGCCAAUAUUCCUUAGAAAUGUCUCAAAAUUAUAAAUAUGUUAGGGCUAAAGAAAGAAAUAGAAAAUGGAAGGCAGAAGCAAAAAUUAGAUUGAAGGUUUACAACAAGAGAAUGAAAGUAAUAAUA
Gavialis gangeticus (Gharial) is the source of this 653-nucleotide long non-coding RNA. RefSeq lists it as uncharacterized. Lineage: Eukaryota; Metazoa; Chordata; Crocodylia; Gavialidae. The record is from RefSeq and is a predicted model, not a curated record. The transcript has 3 exons.